RNAcentral lists this long non-coding RNA (228 nucleotides) under Elaeis guineensis (African oil palm). RNAcentral's name for it is "long non-coding RNA (EGUI_LNC012252)". The record is from RNAcentral. Lineage: Eukaryota; Viridiplantae; Streptophyta; Magnoliopsida; Arecales; Arecaceae.
AGCAAUUUUCGACUAAAAUUUUUUUGCAGGUCACAUCCGAGGAGACCCCACCUUGCCAUCCACUCCAGCAUUCCGACGUCUUGCAAAAUCUCGCACCAACAGAUUGGCACUAGAGGAAGGACUCUGAACCCAUUUAGAAGAGCGCAGAUCGAGAGCAACAAGAACUAUGCCACCUAAGAGAGUUUCAUCUUGUCAUAUCAAUGCCACCGUCUCUCGGCUGAUGGAGGA